Rhopalosiphum padi (bird cherry-oat aphid) is the source of this 2866-nucleotide long non-coding RNA. RefSeq lists it as uncharacterized. Lineage: Eukaryota; Metazoa; Arthropoda; Insecta; Hemiptera; Aphididae. The record is from RefSeq and is a predicted model, not a curated record. The transcript has 3 exons.
UGUUAUUCGUGUGAACGAGUUUAAUAGCACAUAAAAGUAUAUAGUUGUUUUUUUUUGUGCUCAAUGGCGUCUCGUGGAUUUAUUCUGAUGAUUAUCUGUAAAGACACGAAACCCGAGAAACGGACACGUUCUAUUCGGAGACGUAUUAUGGCUUGGUACCUACGUAUUAUACGCGCACACACAUGCAUGUUUGUGUGUGCGUAUAUUUGGGUAUGAGAAGUAUAUAUCGACAGGUGUGUUUUCGAAGAUUUUUAUUGCCUUCUUGACGCGUAUGUUUUCGAAGAUAAUUUGUAAAAAUUAUACGCGUGACACUAAAAUCAUAAAUUAUAUUGUUUAUAGUAAAAUGUAUAGGUAUAUACUGAUACUUAUAUAUGUGUUUGUAUUUGUGUAUAUUCAGUGUGUUUUUUUUUUAUUAGUAAACACGUUUCUCGUUGAAACCGAAAAUCGUACUCUUCUAUAUGUAUAUCAUUAUACGCAGCUCGUUAUUCGGAGAUCCAGCCCAUCGUAACAAAACUAGUGCGUAAAAUAUAUACAUCUAUAAAUGAAUGUCAAAUAGUUACCUACAAUUUUAAAUUCGAAGUAAUACAAGACAACUUACUAGCAAACAAGAAAAAAACAACAAAUACUUAGAAAACUGUAUAACCGAGUAAAUUGAUGAGAAGCUUACUCGAAUUAAAUAUUUGAAGAAAGUUUGCUUCAAAUUUGCAAAUUAACGAUUUUAAAUUAUAUUUAUUAUAUUUUAUUAUUGUCUUCUGCACCAAUAUUAUUUAUACUUAUAGUAAUAUUAACGUUUCUUUGUGUUUACAGAUCUUAUACGGGGUAGACUAGCGUGACGAAAAGCACGAUCUGCAAGUGCUUGCCGAUAAUUUUCUACUUCCGGGCGAUUCAUUUGAACCAACUCCGACUGAAUGACCGUAUCAUUAUUGUUGCUAAGUUAUGACUUCAAUAAGAUAAAAAAAAAAACACAAACCUAUAUCCUGACAGCGCAUGAUUAAUAGGAACUGCAGUAAAUGUCUCAAACAACUAUAGGUCCGGAAGAUCCGAUCAAAAUCGACAAUGACGUGGAUCGUGUCGGCUAAGCUAUUACACGAUCCGUAUUUUUUCUAGAUAACAUAUUAUAUAGUAAUAGUAGGACUAAAUUAACGAAAACAACUCUCUUAAAACUGGACUGGACAUUAUAUAUUCAAUUUUAAUGUGUAUACCAGAACCGAGACUUAUCGAAAAAAAAUUCUGGAACCUAUUUUGGACUAUUAGAAAAUUUAUGGAACGGACACGAAACAUCAAUCUAUGACUAACGGAUUAAUUUUUGGACUAUUGUGUUAACAUUUUAAUCAGACCGAAAAUAUGGUCGGACUAUUAUUACUUUUAUUUUUCAUAUAUUGUGGACGGACCGUGCAAAGCUCUCCCUGAAAUACGUAAGUUGCUGCCAACGGAUUUGCGCCGCAGAGGAAACAAAGUUUGUGAUGACGUGGUAGUGGGAGGUGUAGAGGAGGAUUUAUCGCAAAGAAUUUCCGAAAGAAGGCGCAACAAUUUGUCAACCGGCGGGCGGAUAAUAGGAACAUACACAUUACACAUACGCGUCAACCUUUUGGCCCAUUGUUCCUGUGGCGGCAGUAUUGGACGUUCGUUUAUAUAAUACGCGUAAGUACAAUAUGUAUGUAAUAUUAUUAUUAUAUGUGCGUUGUACGGUUCUCUGUUGUCGUGAGUAGGAGGGGGUGGCUGAGAAACGUCUAAAUUGUAAUGGCAUUAUAUAUUAUUAUUAUUAUCAUUAUUAUUAUUGUUAUUUCCUUCAUCCGUGUCCGAAGACCACACCCGGUGCCGCCAGAGGUGUGAAAUGUGUUUUGUACAAACAAGACCUGCGGCGGCUUUACGGCGACGUCGACAACGACGACAACCGAUCGGUCGCUAGGACGACAAACGGAUCUCCCCGUGCGGCGCGGCAGUAGCGAGGAAUCUGACGAUCGUAAAAAAGACCGCCUCGCCCGGCGGUCGGCCGACCCGUUACCGGGAAAACGAUAGAAUUCAUGUUUUUCGGCAUAACAAAAUGUUAUUUUUAAAAUACCAGAGUUUUGACCGAAGCGACGUGCCGCGAUGUUUGGCGGUACGCCUGCGCAUGUAUAUACACUCAAAGCCCCCGAAAGUCUCCCGUGGCGCACUACUACCGAACUCAUGAAAACGAAUUCGUGUAUACGUAUUUGUAUGCCUUUGUGUGGUGGACGGCGUGUUUUAUCAUAUGUUUCGAUCAAAGUGAUCGGUGUAUACUUGUGAUAGACAAGUAUUGUUGCGGUGGGACGCUUUUAUAUUCCACGAAACAUCCCAGAUAUCGUCGUGUAAGUCGUUGUCUACUGCAACGUCAUAAUAAUUCCUAGAUGGAACUUGGAUGGAUAAAUUGUAGGUAUAUAAGAUUUUUUUUCAGGAAGAUGAUAAUUUUUCAUUUGGUUGGUUUACGAGAUUUACCUACUUUACUCAACCUAUACUAUAUUACAUUCUUGUACAGUUUUCAACAUAUAAAAGGACAUUCGAGGUUCAAGUUUAUACGAAUGUAUUAUUAUGACACUGCACGCAAUCAUCGAACACGCAUUGAGCACGUCUUCAAUUCCAGUAAUAUAAGUAAUUAUAUACUCGGCAUUUAUUGUUUAGGUGAUUAGUAGCUACAUAAUCAUACUUGUAUAACUCAAACAACAAAAAUUAUGUCAAAUACUCGUGAAAUAUAUUUUUAAAUCAUAGUUAAGACUUGAAAUCCCGCAAUACUGGUUGGCUCCUUCACACAGACUAGUUUACACAGGUCUACAGUCUUGAUGUUUUUAUAUAUAUAAUAUAUAUACAAUAUACAUACAUUUGUUUUUAUUUUUUUCCAUUUAUAUAU